This 216-nucleotide long non-coding RNA is filed under the name Lathyrus oleraceus (garden pea). RNAcentral describes it as "Pisum sativum (pea) long non-coding RNA (PSAT_LNC013246)". Lineage: Eukaryota; Viridiplantae; Streptophyta; Magnoliopsida; Fabales; Fabaceae. The record is from RNAcentral.
GUUUUCUGAGACCAAUCGAUUGGUCCUUGGCCACAAUUGAUUGUGUUGCUUCUCUAUUUGUGAAGAAACAAAAUUUUCCAAAAGUCAAUCGAUUGACAUUGGACUACAAUCAAUUGAUCCUUUGUUUGAAAAAUAGAAUUGUGAACUAAACAAAUUGAUUAGGCUUCCCUAACCAAUCGAUUGGCUCAUGCUUUUGCGUUUUGUCUUAUUUUUUUU